GGUCCGAUGGCCGAGUGGUUAGGCAAGGGUCUGCAAAACCCUCUACGGCGGUUCAAUUCCGCCUCGGACCU
This 71-nucleotide transfer RNA is filed under the name Pseudomonadota bacterium. Its description in RNAcentral is "tRNA-Cys". It matches the Rfam family "tRNA". Rfam says of the family: Transfer RNA (tRNA) molecules are approximately 80 nucleotides in length. Their secondary structure includes four short double-helical elements and three loops (D, anti-codon, and T loops). Further hydrogen bonds mediate the characteristic L-shaped molecular structure. tRNAs have two regions of fundamental functional importance: the anti-codon, which is responsible for specific mRNA codon recognition, and the 3' end, to which the tRNAs corresponding amino acid is attached (by aminoacyl-tRNA synthetases). tRNAs cope with the degeneracy of the genetic code in two manners: having more than one tRNA (with a specific anti-codon) for a particular amino acid; and 'wobble' base-pairing, i.e. permitting non-standard base-pairing at the 3rd anti-codon position. The record is from RNAcentral. Lineage: Bacteria; Pseudomonadati; Pseudomonadota. RNAcentral also lists the same sequence under 1 other name.